AUGCAUAAUUCCAUUUUCAAGAAAAAAAUUUCCAACAAUUUUAUUAAAAAAUUUAGUACUAUUGUCAGUUCUAAACACUUGUAUUUGGGUGUUAAACUGUGUCUGCACCAAUUUACAAAAGUUUUGAAUUAUUUGACCUACCUCAGAUUUUUCUUUCAACAAGUAUACUCAACAAAGUCUAGUAUGAUCAUCUGUGAAAGUGAUAAACUAUUUUUUGCUGGAUAA
Non-coding RNA from Vicia faba (fava bean), 225 nucleotides. NCBI's taxonomy places the organism in Eukaryota, Viridiplantae, Streptophyta, Magnoliopsida, Fabales, Fabaceae. The record is from the annotation of a GenBank genome assembly.